Molecule: ribosomal RNA, 253 nt
Filed under: uncultured bacterium
Lineage: Bacteria
Description: partial 16S ribosomal RNA
Rfam family: Bacterial small subunit ribosomal RNA
Source: RNAcentral
GACGAACCGAGCGAACGUUAUUCGGAAUCACUGGGCUUAAAGGGUGCGUAGGCGGGCACGCGAGUCAGGGGUGAAAUCCCACGGCCCAACCGUGGAAGUGCCUCUGAUACCGCGAGCCUCGAGGGGGAUAGGGGCGUGCGGAACUUCCGGUGGAGCGGUGAAAUGCGUAGAUAUCCUAAGGAACACCGGUGGCGAAAGCGGCUCACUGGAUCUCUUCUGACGCUGAGGCACGAAAGCUAGGGUAGCGAACGGG